Molecule: ribosomal RNA, 494 nt
Filed under: uncultured bacterium
Lineage: Bacteria
Description: bacterial SSU rRNA
Rfam family: Bacterial small subunit ribosomal RNA
Source: RNAcentral
GAGUUUGAUCAUGGCUCAGAACGAACGCUGGCGGCAGGCCUAACACAGCAAGUCGCAGGGGAAGCCCCUUUCGGGGGGUGGAGACUGGCGGACGGGUGAGUAACGCGUGGGAACCGGCCCCGGGGUGGGGGACAACCGCUGGAAACGGCGGCUAAUACCGCAUGCGCCCUGAUGGGAGACCAUUGGGGGAAAGCAGCGAUGCGCCCUGGGAGGGGCCCGCGUUGGAUUAGCUAGUUGGUGGGGUAAAGGCCUACCAAGGCAACGAUCCAUAGCUGGUCUGAGAGGAUGAUCAGCCACACUGGGACUGAGACACGGCCCAGACUCCUACGGGAGGCAGCAGUGGGGAAUAUUGGACAAUGGGCGCAAGCCUGAUCCAGCCAUGCCGCGUGAGUGAAGAAGGCCUUAGGGUUGUAAAGCUCUUUCACCCGUGAAGAUGAUGACGGUAGCGGGAGAAGAAGCCCCGGCUAACUCCGUGCCAGCAGCCGCGGUAAUAC